RNAcentral lists this transfer RNA (91 nucleotides) under Gimesia aquarii. RNAcentral's name for it is "Planctomycetes bacterium V144 tRNA-Ser". It matches the Rfam family "tRNA". From Rfam's summary of the family: Transfer RNA (tRNA) molecules are approximately 80 nucleotides in length. The record is from RNAcentral. Lineage: Bacteria; Pseudomonadati; Planctomycetota; Planctomycetia; Planctomycetales; Planctomycetaceae.
UGGAGAGAUGGCAGAGAGGCCGAAUGCGCCGGUUUGCUAAACCGGUGAGCCGUGUAAACGGUUCCACGGGUUCGAAUCCCGUUCUCUCCGU